CGAAUGCUGACAUAAGUAACGAUAAAGCGGGUGAAAAGCCCGCUCGCCGGAAGACCAAGGGUUCCUGUCCAACGUUAAUCGGGGCAGGGUGAGUCGACCCCUAAGGCGAGGCCGAAAGGCGUAGUCGAUGGGAAACAGGUUAAUAUUCCUGUACUUGGUGUUACUGCGAAGGGGGGACGGAGAAGGCUAUGUUGGCCGGGCGACGGUUGUCCCGGUUUAAGCGUGUAGGCUGGUUUUCCAGGCAAAUCCGGAAAAUCAAGGCUGAGGCGUGAUGACGAGGCACUACGGUGCUGAAGCAACAAAUGCCCUGCUUCCAGGAAAAGCCUCUAAGCAUCAGGUAACAUCAAAUCGUACCCCAAACCGACACAGGUGGUCAGGUAGAGAAUACCAAGGCGCUUGAGAGAACUCGGGUGAAGGAACUAGGCAAAAUGGUGCCGUAACUUCGGGAGAAGGCACGCUGAUAUGUAGGUGAAGUCCCUCGCGGAUGGAGCUGAAAUCAGUCGAAGAUACCAGCUGGCUGCAACUGUUUAUUAAAAACACAGCACUGUGCAAACACGAAAGUGGACGUAUACGGUGUGACGCCUGCCCGGUGCCGGAAGGUUAAUUGAUGGGGUCAGCGCAAGCGAAGCUCUUGAUCGAAGCCCCGGUAAACGGCGGCCGUAACUAUAACGGUCCUAAGGUAGCGAAAUUCCUUGUCGGGUAAGUUCCGACCUGCACGAAUGGCGUAAUGAUGGCCAGGCUGUCUCCACCCGAGACUCAGUGAAAUUGAACUCGCUGUGAAGAUGCAGUGUACCCGCGGCAAGACGGAAAGACCCCGUGAACCUUUACUAUAGCUUGACACUGAACAUUGAGCCUUGAUGUGUAGGAUAGGUGGGAGGCUUUGAAGUGUGGACGCCAGUCUGCAUGGAGCCGACCUUGAAAUACCACCCUUUAAUGUUUGAUGUUCUAACGUUGACCCGUAAUCCGGGUUGCGGACAGUGUCUGGUGGGUAGUUUGACUGGGGCGGUCUCCUCCUAAAGAGUAACGGAGGAGCACGAAGGUUGGCUAAUCCUGGUCGGACAUCAGGAGGUUAGUGCAAUGGCAUAAGCCAGCUUGACUGCGAGCGUGACGGCGCGAGCAGGUGCGAAAGCAGGUCAUAGUGAUCCGGUGGUUCUGAAUGGAAGGGCCAUCGCUCAACGGAUAAAAGGUACUCCGGGGAUAACAGGCUGAUACCGCCCAAGAGUUCAUAUCGACGGCGGUGUUUGGCACCUCGAUGUCGGCUCAUCACAUCCUGGGGCUGAAGUAGGUCCCAAGGGUAUGGCUGUUCGCCAUUUAAAGUGGUACGCGAGCUGGGUUUAGAACGUCGUGAGACAGUUCGGUCCCUAUCUGCCGUGGGCGCUGGAGAACUGAGGGGGGCUGCUCCUAGUACGAGAGGACCGGAGUGGACGCAUCACUGGUGUUCGGGUUGUCAUGCCAAUGGCACUGCCCGGUAGCUAAAUGCGGAAGAGAUAAGUGCUGAAAGCAUCUAAGCACGAAACUUGCCCCGAGAUGAGUUCUCCCUGACCCUUUAAGGGUCCUGAAGGAACGUUGAAGACGACGACGUUGAUAGGCCGGGUGUGUAAGCGCAGCGAUGCGUUGAGCUAACCGGUACUAAUGAACCGUGAGG
Molecule: ribosomal RNA, 1645 nt
Filed under: Escherichia coli
Lineage: Bacteria; Pseudomonadati; Pseudomonadota; Gammaproteobacteria; Enterobacterales; Enterobacteriaceae
Description: partial 23S ribosomal RNA
Rfam family: Bacterial large subunit ribosomal RNA
Source: RNAcentral